Molecule: ribosomal RNA, 433 nt
Filed under: uncultured bacterium
Lineage: Bacteria
Description: partial 16S ribosomal RNA
Rfam family: Bacterial small subunit ribosomal RNA
Source: RNAcentral
AACGAACGCUGGCGGCAUGCCUAACACAUGCAAGUCGAACGAGACCUUCGGGUCUAGUGGCGCACGGGUGCGUAACGCGUGGGAACCUGCCCUUAGGUUCGGAAUAACUCCCCGAAAGGGGUGCUAAUACCGGAUAAUGUCUUCGGACCAAAGAUUUAUCGCCUUUGGAUGGGCCCGCGUUGGAUUAGCUAGUUGGUAGGGUAAAAGCCUACCAAGGCGACGAUCCAUAGCUGGUCUGAGAGGAUGAUCAGCCACACUGGGACUGAGACACGGCCCAGACUCCUACGGGAGGCAGCAGUGGGGAAUAUUGGACAAUGAGCGAAAGCCUGAUCCGGCAAUGCCGCGUGAGUGAUGAAGGCCUUAGGGUUGUAAAGCUCUUUUACCCGGGAUGAUAAUGACAGUACCGGGAGAAUAAGCUCCGGCUAACUCCGUG